UGACCGUGCGACGCCGCGUGGCGAUGAAGGCCUUCGGGUGUAAAGCCCUGUCAGGGGUGAAGAAUGGCAUGGGUCCGCCCAUGUUUGACGUUAGCCCCAAAGGAAGUCACGGCUAACUCCGUGCCAGCAGCCGCGGUAAGACGGAGGUGGCAAACGUUGCUCGGAAUUACUGGGCUUAAAGGGCGUGUAGGCGGUCGACUAAGUCGGGUGUGAAAUACUCCGGCCCAACCGGGGAAUUGCAUUCGAUACUGGUCGGCUAGAGUGCGAGAGGGGCAAGUGGAACUCCAGGUGUAGCGGUGAAAUGCGUAGAUAUCUGGAGGAACGCCGGUGGCGAAAGCGACUUGCUGGCUCGUAACUGACGCUGAGGCGCGAAAGCCAGGGGAGCAAACGGGAUUAGAUACCCCGGUAGUCCUGGCCCUAAACGAUGAGCACUUGGCUGUGGUCCGUCCACUGGGUCACAGCCGCAGCGAAAGUGGUAAGUGCUCCGCCUGGGGAGUACGGUCGCAAGGCUG
RNAcentral lists this ribosomal RNA (512 nucleotides) under uncultured bacterium. RNAcentral's name for it is "bacterial SSU rRNA". It matches the Rfam family "Bacterial small subunit ribosomal RNA", at positions 384 to 896 of the family's 1533-position model. The record is from RNAcentral.